This 377-nucleotide ribosomal RNA is filed under the name uncultured bacterium. RNAcentral's name for it is "bacterial SSU rRNA". It matches the Rfam family "Bacterial small subunit ribosomal RNA", at positions 523 to 898 of the family's 1533-position model. The record is from RNAcentral.
AUACGUAGGGGGCGAGCGUUGUCCGAAUUCACUGGGCGUAAAGCGCAUGCAGGCGGCCGCACAAGUUGGAUGUGAAAUCUCCCGGCUCAACUGGGAGGGGACGUUCAAAACUGUGCGGCUCGAGGGCGGUAGAGGAAGGUAGAAUUCCCGGUGUAGUGGUGAAAUGCGUAGAUAUCGGGAGGAAUACCCGUGGCGAAGGCGACCUUCUGGACCGUUUCUGACGCUCAGAUGCGAAAGCUAGGGGAGCGAACGGGAUUAGAAACCCCGGUAGUCCUAGCCGUAAACGAUGUCGACUGGGCGUGGGUGGGGUAAAAGCCAUCCGUGCCGAAGCUAACGCGUGAAGUCGACCGCCUGGGGACUACGGCCGCAAGGUUAAA